RNAcentral lists this long non-coding RNA (538 nucleotides) under Marmota monax (woodchuck). The record is from RNAcentral. Lineage: Eukaryota; Metazoa; Chordata; Mammalia; Rodentia; Sciuridae.
UUGCUCUGCAGGUGUUUUGUAUAUGUAUUUACCAUCAUGAUUAGUUGUCUUUAAAUAAAAAUCAUUCUUAAUAUGAAUGGAUAAAGAAAAUGUGGUAUAUAUACACAAAUGAAAUACUCAGCGAUAAAGAAGAAUGAAAUUCUGGCAUUUACAGGUAAAUGGACAGAAGAUGGAUACUUAUGAUGCUAAGUGAAAUAAACCAAUCCCCCAAAAAAACAAAGGCCAAAUUUUCUCUCUGGUAUCUGGAUGCUAAUCCAUAACAAGGGAGGAUAGGGAGAGAAAGAAUAGAAAUUCACUGGAUUGGACAAAGGGGAAUGAAGGGAAAGGAGUGGGGAUGAAAAUAGGAAAGAUAGUAGAAUGAAUCAGACAGGACUCUCCUUUGCUCAUAUAUGAGUACACAGCCAGUGUAUCUCCACAUCAUGUACAAUCACAAGAAUGGGAAGUUAUAUUCCAUGUACGUAUAAUAUGUAAAAAUUCACUCUACUGUCAUGUAUAUCUAAAAAGAACAAAUAUAAAAAAUAAAUAAAAUCAUCCUGGC